Homo sapiens (human) is the source of this 1182-nucleotide long non-coding RNA. Ensembl annotates it as androgen receptor regulated long noncoding RNA 1. Its record names the gene ARLNC1. The record is from Ensembl. Lineage: Eukaryota; Metazoa; Chordata; Mammalia; Primates; Hominidae.
UAGGAGGAGACCAAGAAAGCCUAUAAAAAGCAAAAAUAUGAAGUGAACAUUGUGGUAGCUUUAAGAUGUUUAGUGUAGCUGCAGGCACCCUAUACACAUGAAAACCCCCAAGGGGAAUCCCCAUAUCACAGUGUAGUGUGAUAUUUGACAUUCGUGAUCAUCUAGAGAUGUACAGAAAAGCAUUUACAGUUUCAAGAGUUUGUGUCACAAUUAGAAGAAUUCAGCUGCACCUCCAAGUGACAGCAGUUGCUCUGGUUGGUGGGUGAUCUCAGGAGGCUUGAGAAUUGCUUUGUCUGUGAGGGAAGUAAGACAUUUUCAGAGCCCCACUUUAGAAGGUGUGAACUGGCUAGAUAAUGAACCCCAGGGCUAACGCUGCUAUAGCAGUGGGAAGGAGGUGAUGGGUUUUCAGUUUGGACCUCAAACAUCAAUACCCUCCUGGUACGGGGAGGAACAGAGUCCCUCCUUUACUUCUCCAUUAGAAAGAAUGAGAUGGCAAGACAAUGAAACAGGCAAAGUGAACAGAGAUGCAAGACAAAAUUCAGGUGAGAGAGCCAGAGCAUCACUCAGCCAUUCCUGACAUGUAAAACAGGCAACUAGAAAUUUGCAGAAAGGAAGCGAAGUCUCCAUAAAGAUGUUUUUAAAGUGAGCUUGAAGUAUUUGGAGACAAUUCAGUGUUACAUAAAAUCUGCAAAUCUCUGGAUAAAGAAGCAGAGAUCCCAGCAUGGGACAAAUGGAGCCUCAAAAGUGGGAAGAAGACAGAGAAGACCAGGGCAGAAUGCAUCUCUUCCUUUCUCUUGGCUUUCCUGGAUAAGGACUGCAUCAUUCCUGUGGAAGGACAGGCCAUCAGCUCCGAAACACUGUAUGUAUUUUCCAGUAUAUACUGCUAGCUGUGUGAUGUUGGGAAAAUUUGUUACCCUGUCUAACCCCCACUUCCCUCAUCUGUAAAAUGGAAAUAAUGAUAGUACCUACCUAUCUCAUAGGUGGCAACUACAAGGGGCAGCACACUCAGGGAAUUAAGGAAGUUUCAGUGAACAUCAACUUUAUGAACACAGUGUUCAUAAAGGCAGGUCAGUGCAGUGGUUUGGGAGCCAGGAGAAGCACGUGGGCCGGAGUGUGCCUGCAGGAGACAAGGUCAGAGAUGUUGCUAAUAAUGGAGAAUAAAGGAUGCAUUCUCAUUACUGA